GCGGAAGGGCACCACCAGGAGUGGAGCCUGCGGCUUAAUUUGACUCAACACGGGGAAACUCACCAGGUCCAGACACAAUAAGGAUUGACAGAUUGAGAGCUCUUUCUUGAUUUUGUGGGUGGUGGUGCAUGGCCGUUCUUAGUUGGUGGAGUGAUUUGUCUGCUUAAUUGCGAUAACGAACGAGACCUUAACUUUUAAAUAGGCACGCUAGCAUUUGCUGGCGCUGCCUUCUUAAAAGGACUAUCUAUGUCAAGUAGAUGGAAGUUUGAGGCAAUAACAGGUCUGUGAUGCCCUUAGACGUUCUGGGCCGCACGCGCGCUACACUGACGGAGCCAGCGAGUCUACCUUGGCCGAGAGGCCCGGGAAAUCUUGUGAAACUCCGUCGUGCUGGGGAUAGAGCAUUGCAAUUUUUGCUCUUCAACGAGGAAUUCCUAGUAAGCGCAAGUCAUCAGCUUGCGUUGAUUACGUCCCUGCCCUUUGUACACACCGCCCGUCGCUACUACCGAUUGAAUGGCUUAGUGAGGCAUCGGGAUGGAAAGAGAAGAGGGGCAACCCUUUUUUCUGUCUAAAACUUUGUCAAACUUGGUCAUUUAGAGGAAG
Molecule: ribosomal RNA, 600 nt
Filed under: Kodamaea sp.
Lineage: Eukaryota; Fungi; Ascomycota; Pichiomycetes; Serinales; Debaryomycetaceae
Description: SSU rRNA
Rfam family: Eukaryotic small subunit ribosomal RNA
Source: RNAcentral